Small nuclear RNA from Aotus nancymaae (Ma's night monkey), 141 nucleotides. Its record names the gene U4. It matches the Rfam family "U4 spliceosomal RNA". Rfam says of the family: U4 small nuclear RNA (U4 snRNA) is a component of the major U2-dependent spliceosome. The structure of U4 snRNA from yeast and human has been reported. Lineage: Eukaryota; Metazoa; Chordata; Mammalia; Primates; Aotidae. The record is from Ensembl.
AGUUUUGUGCAGUGGCAGUAUCAUAGCCAAUGAGGUUUAUCUGAGGAGCGAUUAUUGCUAAUUGAAAACUUUUCCCUGUACCCCGCCAUGACAACUUGCAAUACAGUCGGCACUGGCAAUUUUUGACAGUCUCUUUGGAGA